AUUGAACGCUGGCGGAAUGCUUAACACAUGCAAGUCGAACGGUAACGAUGGUAGCUUGCUACCAGGCGACGAGUGGCGGACGGGUGAGUACAACUUAGGAAUCUGCCCAGUAGUGGGGGACAACUCGAGGAAACUCGAGCUAAUACCGCAUACGACCUUCGGGUGAAAGUGGGGGAUCUUCGGACCUCACGCUAUUGGAUGAGCCUAAGCCGGAUUAGCUUGUUGGUGGGGUAAUGGCCUACCAAGGCGACGAUCCGUAGCUGGUCUGAGAGGACGAUCAGCCACACUGGGACUGAGACACGGCCCAGACUCCUACGGGAGGCAGCAGUGGGGAAUAUUGGACAAUGGGGGCAACCCUGAUCCAGCAAUUCCGCGUGUGUGAAGAAGGCCUGCGGGUUGUAAAGCACUUUCAGUGGAGAAGAAAAGCGUUGGGUUAAUAACCCGGCGUCUUGACGUUAACUACAGAAGAAGCACCGGCUAACUCCG
RNAcentral lists this ribosomal RNA (486 nucleotides) under uncultured Piscirickettsiaceae bacterium. Its description in RNAcentral is "bacterial SSU rRNA". It matches the Rfam family "Bacterial small subunit ribosomal RNA", at positions 30 to 505 of the family's 1533-position model. Lineage: Bacteria; Pseudomonadati; Pseudomonadota; Gammaproteobacteria; Thiotrichales; Piscirickettsiaceae. The record is from RNAcentral.